This 253-nucleotide ribosomal RNA is filed under the name uncultured bacterium. Its description in RNAcentral is "partial 16S ribosomal RNA". It matches the Rfam family "Bacterial small subunit ribosomal RNA", at positions 524 to 776 of the family's 1533-position model. The record is from RNAcentral.
UACGGGGGGGGCAAGCGUUGUUCGGAAUUACUGGGCGUAAAGGGUUCGUAGGUGGCUUGUUAAGUCAGACGUGAAAUCCCUCAGCUUAACUGGGGAACUGCGUCUGAGACUGAUGAGCUCGAGUGCAGGAGAGGAACGCGGAAUUCCAGGCGUAGCGGUGAAAUGCGUAGAUAUCUGGAGGAACACCGGUGGCGAAGGCGGCGUUCUGGACUGCAACUGACACUGAGGAACGAAAGCCAGGGGAGCAAACGGG